UGCCCUAGUACGGCGAGUGAAGCGGCAACAGCUCAAAUUUGAAAUCUGGCUCUUUUAGAGUCCGAGUUGUAAUUUGCAGAGGGCGCUUUGGCUUUGGCAGCGGUCCAAGUUCCUUGGAACAGGACGUCACAGAGGGUGAGAAUCCCGUACGUGGUCGCUGGCUAUUGCCGUGUAAAGCCCCUUCGACGAGUCGAGUUGUUUGGGAAUGCAGCUCUAAAUGGGAGGUACAUUUCUUCUAAAGCUAAAUAUUGGCCAGAGACCGAUAGCGCACAAGUAGAGUGAUCGAAAGAUGAAAAGCACUUUGGAAAGAGAGUCAAACAGCACGUGAAAUUGUUGAAAGGGAAGCGCUUGCAGCCAGACUUGCUUACAGUUGCUCAUCCGGGUUUCUACCCGGUGCACUCUUCUGUAGGCAGGCCAGCAUCAGUUUGGGCGGUAGGAUAAAGGUCUCUGUCACGUACCUCCUUUCGGGGAGGCCUUAUAGGGGAGACGACAUACUACCAGCCUGGACUGAGGUCCGCGCAUCUGCUAGGAUGCUGGCGUAAUGGCUGUAAGCGGCCCGUCUUGAAACACGGACCAAGGAGUCUAACAUCUAUGCGAGUGUUUGGGUGUCAAGCCCGAGCGCGUAAUGAAAGUGAACGGAGGUGGGAACCCGCAAGGGUGCACCAUCGACCGAUCCUGAUGUCUUCGGAAGGAUUUGAGUAAGAGCAUGGCUGUUGGGACCCGAAAGAUGGUGAACUAUGCUUGAAUAGGGUGAAGCCAGAGGAAACUCUGGUGGAGGCUCGCAGCGGUUCUGACGUGCAAAUCGAUCGUCA
RNAcentral lists this ribosomal RNA (812 nucleotides) under Alternaria sp. RNAcentral describes it as "LSU rRNA". It matches the Rfam family "Eukaryotic large subunit ribosomal RNA", at positions 76 to 907 of the family's 3401-position model. The record is from RNAcentral. Lineage: Eukaryota; Fungi; Ascomycota; Dothideomycetes; Pleosporales; Pleosporaceae.